Molecule: ribosomal RNA, 1143 nt
Filed under: human gut metagenome
Description: bacterial LSU rRNA
Rfam family: Bacterial large subunit ribosomal RNA
Source: RNAcentral
UCGGGCGUGGAUAAUAAUCGGGUAUUAAGUUGUCUACCGAAGCAGUGGGAUCAUUGAUAUGAUCGGUAGGGGAGCAUUCCAGUCAGCGUCGAAGGCGUACCGUGAGGUAUUCUGGAGCGUCUGGAAAAGCAAAUGUAGGUAUAAGUAACGAUAAAGGGGGCGGGAAACCCCCUCGCCGAAAGACUAAGGUUUCCUGAUCAACGCUAAUCGGAUCAGGGUCAGUCGGGUCCUAAGGCUCAGCCGAACGGCGAUGCCGAUGGCAGAAACGGUUAAUAUUCCGUUACUACCUUCAGGAGUGACGUGGAGACGCAGUAGUGACAGUGCCGCCAUCUGACGGAAUAGAUGGUUGAAGGGUGUAGGAGUCGAUCAUGGCAGGCAAAUCCACCAUGAGAUCCGAACCUGAUAGUAUGCCGCGUCCUUCGGGACAAGGCAAUAGUGCGCGUAAGCAUGCUGCCGAGAAAAUCCGCUAAACUUAAUCCUGCAGGUACCCGUACCGCAAACGGACACACGUAGUCGGGAUGAAUAUUCUAAGGCGCUUGAGUGAUUCACGGUUAAGGAACUAGGCAAACUGACCCUGUAACUUCGGGAUAAAGGGUCCCUACCCUUUUAUGGGAGGGCGCAGAGAAUCGGUCCAGGCAACUGUUUAACAAAAACACAGGGCUGUGCCAAAUCGAAAGAUCCAGUAUACAGCCUGACACCUGCCCGGUGCUGGAAGGUUAAGAGGAGAUGUCAUCGAUAAGAGAAGCGUUGAAUUGAAGCCCCAGUAAACGGCGGCCGUAACUAUAACGGUCCUAAGGUAGCGAAAUUCCUUGUCGGGUAAGUUCCGACCUGCACGAAUGGUGUAAUGAUCUGGACGCUGUCUCAACCGUGAGCUCAGUGAAAUUGUAGUAUCGGUGAAGAUGCCGAUUACCCGCGAUGGGACGAAAAGACCCCGUGAACCUUUACUAUAGCUUAUCAUUGAAUCUGGGCACGUGAUGUGUAGGAUAGGUCGGAGGCUUUGAAGCAGGUACGCCAGUAUUUGUGGAGCCGCUGUUGAAAUACGACCCUUUAUUUGUUUGGAUUCUAACCCGUGGAUACGGGGACAUUGAUUGGUGGGUAGUUUGACUGGGGUGGUCGCCUCCAAAAGCGUAACGGAGGCUUCUA